UAUUCGCAUUUUUGUAAUUCCUGUUUUUACUUUCUUGUUGAAGCCAAUUUGAUAAACAAAUCUGGUGAAUUAUUAUCAUUCUCUGUUCUGUAGUUGCUCAGCUCACAACCAAAAUCAAGCAUUUAUCAUCAGUUUUACAUAAAAAGGACAAGCAUUCCCGGAAAGGACUCCAUGAAAUGGUUCAACUAAGAAAGAAACUGCUGAAGUAUCUCCGAAGAACAGACUGGGAUUCCUACUGUCUUGUUCUCUCCAAGCUCGGCCUCAGGGACAUUCCUGAUUACAAGAUUCCUGAUUACAAGAGCUAAUAGAUGAAGGGCCUCUUUUUAAGGAAUCAAGAGCUUGUUGCCUGCUUGUCUUCGUCCUUGAUGGGAUCUAAGGCUUUGUUUGUGGAGAAAUUAAAUCGUGCGGGCAUCGAACGGCGUCUGGAUGCCAAUCAGAGUGUGCCACGUCAUGUGUAUUGAUACAUAGCUGUGUACUGGACCAAUACACAUACUAUGUAUCAAUACACAGCUGUGUAUUGGGUGAUAUGAUGCGUUUAAUUGGACUCUGGAGUUCGGCGUCUGCUCGUCAUAGUUUCUCGUUGUGACAGUUUUUAUUACUGUUUUUUCAUUGCUUUUUAAAAAAAUUUGGACUAGAAAGCUACCCUAAAAAGCAGUAUG
This is a long non-coding RNA of Dendrobium catenatum, 659 nucleotides long. RefSeq lists it as uncharacterized. The record is from RefSeq and is a predicted model, not a curated record. Lineage: Eukaryota; Viridiplantae; Streptophyta; Magnoliopsida; Asparagales; Orchidaceae. The transcript is spliced from 3 exons.